UAUCCUGUCUGAAUAUGGGGGGACCAUCCUCCAAGGCUAAAUACUCCUGACUGACCGAUAGUGAACCAGUACCGUGAGGGAAAGGCGAAAAGAACCCCGGCGAGGGGAGUGAAAAAGAACCUGAAACCGUGUACGUACAAGCAGUGGGAGCACAGAGCAAUCUGUGUGACUGCGUACCUUUUGUAUAAUGGGUCAGCGACUUAUAUUCUGUAGCAAGGUUAACCGAAUAGGGGAGCCGAAGGGAAACCGAGUCUUAACUGGGCGUUAAGUUGCAGGGUAUAGACCCGAAACCCGGUGAUCUAGCCAUGGGCAGGUUGAAGGUUGGGUAACACUAACUGGAGGACCGAACCGACUAAUGUUGAAAAAUUAGCGGAUGACUUGUGGCUGGGGGUGAAAGGCCAAUCAAACCGGGAGAUAGCUGGUUCUCCCCGAAAGCUAUUUAGGUAGCGCCUCGUGAAUUCAUCUCCGGGGGUAGAGCACUGUUUCGGCAAGGGGGUCAUCCCGACUUACCAACCCGAUGCAAACUGCGAAUACCGGAGAAUGUUAUCACGGGAGACACACGGCGGGUGCUAACGUCCGUCGUGAAGAGGGAAACAACCCAGACCGCCAGCUAAGGUCCCAAAGUCAUGGUUAAGUGGGAAACGAUGUGGGAAGGCCCAGACAGCCAGGAUGUUGGCUUAGAAGCAGCCAUCAUUUAAAGAAAGCGUAAUAGCUCACUGGUCGAGUCGGCCUGCGCGGAAGAUGUAACGGGGCUAAACCAUGCACCGAAGCUGCGGCAGCGACGCUGAUGCGUUGUUGGGUAGGGGAGCGUUCUGUAAGCCUGUGAAGGUGUGCUGUGAGGCAUGCUGGAGGUAUCAGAAGUGCGAAUGCUGACAUAAGUAACGAUAAAGCGGGUGAAAAGCCCGCUCGCCGGAAGACCAAGGGUUCCUGUCCAACGUUAAUCGGGGCAGGGUGAGUCGACCCCUAAGGCGAGGCCGAAAGGCGUAGUCGAUGGGAAACAGGUUA
RNAcentral lists this ribosomal RNA (1005 nucleotides) under Escherichia coli. RNAcentral's name for it is "partial 23S ribosomal RNA". It matches the Rfam family "Bacterial large subunit ribosomal RNA", at positions 430 to 1432 of the family's 2925-position model. The record is from RNAcentral. Lineage: Bacteria; Pseudomonadati; Pseudomonadota; Gammaproteobacteria; Enterobacterales; Enterobacteriaceae.